RNAcentral lists this ribosomal RNA (253 nucleotides) under uncultured bacterium. RNAcentral's name for it is "partial 16S ribosomal RNA". It matches the Rfam family "Bacterial small subunit ribosomal RNA", at positions 524 to 776 of the family's 1533-position model. The record is from RNAcentral.
UACGUAGGUGGCAAGCGUUAUCCGGAUUUAUUGGGUGUAAAGGGCGUGUAGGCGGGAGCGCAAGUCAGAUGUGAAAACUCAGGGCUCAACCCUGAGCCUGCAUUUGAAACUGUGUUUCUUGAGUGCUGGAGAGGCAAUCGGAAUUCCGUGUGUAGCGGUGAAAUGCAUAGAUAUCACGCAGAACUCCGAUUGCGAAGGCAGCAUACCGGCGCCCUACUGACGCUGAGGCACGAAAGCGUGGGUAUCGAACAGG